Molecule: non-coding RNA, 23 nt
Filed under: Cricetulus griseus (Chinese hamster)
Lineage: Eukaryota; Metazoa; Chordata; Mammalia; Rodentia; Cricetidae
Source: RNAcentral
UGGAAUAUAUAGUUGUGAACUGU